UAAUACGAAGGUGGCGAGCGUUGUUCGGAAUCACUGGGCUUAAAGCGCGCGUAGGCGGAAAUACAAGUGUCUUGUGAAAUCCCCCGGCUUAACCGUGGAAUUGCUUGGCAAACAGUAUUUCUUGAGGCAAGUAGGGGUGUGUGGAACUCUUGGUGGAGCGGUGGAAUGCGUAGAUAUCAAGAGGAACGCCAAUGGUGAAGACAGCACACUGGGCUUGUCCUGACGCUGAGGUGCGAAAGCGUGGGGAGCGAACGGGAUUAGAUACCCCGGUAGUCCACGCUGUAAACGAUGUCUACUAAGUUGUGGAAGUUCUGACACUUUCACGGCCGGAGCAAAAGUGUUAAGUAGACCGCCUGGGGAGUACGGCCGCAAGGCUA
Molecule: ribosomal RNA, 377 nt
Filed under: uncultured bacterium
Lineage: Bacteria
Description: bacterial SSU rRNA
Rfam family: Bacterial small subunit ribosomal RNA
Source: RNAcentral